UAAAAAGCUCGUAGUUGGAUCUGUGUGUCGGACGGUCGGUUCGCCGCUCGCGGCGUCUAACUGACCGGUCCGCGCGUCCUGCCGGUGGGCGCGCUCUCCCCUGCGGCGGCCCCCGUGGUGUUUCCCUUUCGGGGGUCUCCGCCUCGGGUGCGUCGACGCGGGGGGUGCCGCCCGUUAACCUUCCCUCCGUGCUGCUCUUAACCGGGUGGCGCGGUGGGCCGGCACGUUUACUUUGAACAAAUUUGAGUGCUCAAAGCAGGCCUCGAGUCGCCUGAAAACUGUGUGCAUGGAAUAAUGGAAUAGGGCCUCUUUUCUAUUUUGUUGGCUUUUCUGAAACUGAGGUAAUGAUUAAUAGGGACAGACGGGGGCAUUCGUAUUGCGACGUUAGAGGUGAAAUUCUUGGAUCGUCGCAAGACGGACGGAUGCGAAAGCGUUUGCCAAGAAUGUUUUCGCUAAUCAAGAACGAAAGUUAGAGGUUCGAAGGCGAUCAGAUACCGCCCUAGUUCUAACCAUAAACGAUGCCAGCCAGCGAUGCGCCGACGUUCCUCCGAUGACUCGGCGCGCAGCUUCCGGGAAACCAAAGCUUUUGGGUUCCGGGG
This 599-nucleotide ribosomal RNA is filed under the name Cincticostella sp. OPU_BS_C2011-113. RNAcentral describes it as "bacterial SSU rRNA". It matches the Rfam family "Eukaryotic small subunit ribosomal RNA", at positions 620 to 1119 of the family's 1831-position model. Lineage: Eukaryota; Metazoa; Arthropoda; Insecta; Ephemeroptera; Ephemerellidae. The record is from RNAcentral.